UGGACGCUGGCGGCGUGCCUACUACAUGCAAGUCGAGCGAACAGAUACGGAGCUUGCUCCUUUGACGUUAGCGGCGGACGGGUGAGUAACACGUGGGUAACCUACCUAUAAGACUGGAAUAACUCCGGGAAACCGGGGCUAAUGCCGGAUAACAUUUAGAACCGCAUGGUUCUAAAGUGAAAGAUGGUUUUGCUAUCACUUAUAGAUGGACCCGCGCCGUAUUAGCUAGUUGGUAAGGUAACGGCUUACCAAGGCAACGAUACGUAGCCGACCUGAGAGGGUGAUCGGCCACACUGGAACUGAGACACGGUCCAGGCUCCUACGGGAGGCAGCAGUAGGGAAUCUUCCGCAAUGGGCGAAAGCCUGACGGAGCAACGCCGCGUGAGUGAUGAAGGUCUUCGGAUCGUAAAACUCUGUUAUUAGGGAAGAACAAAUGUGUAAGUAACUGUGCACGUCUUGACGGUACCUAAUCAGAAAGCCACGGCUAACUACGUG
Molecule: ribosomal RNA, 495 nt
Filed under: uncultured bacterium
Lineage: Bacteria
Description: partial 16S ribosomal RNA
Rfam family: Bacterial small subunit ribosomal RNA
Source: RNAcentral